RNAcentral lists this small nuclear RNA (185 nucleotides) under Castor canadensis (American beaver). RNAcentral's name for it is "U2 spliceosomal RNA (ENSCCNG00000004470.1)". It matches the Rfam family "U2 spliceosomal RNA". Rfam says of the family: U2 is a small nuclear RNA (snRNA) component of the spliceosome (involved in pre-mRNA splicing). Complementary binding between U2 snRNA (in an area lying towards the 5' end but 3' to hairpin I) and the branchpoint sequence (BPS) of the intron results the bulging out of an unpaired adenosine, on the BPS, which initiates a nucleophilic attack at the intronic 5' splice site, thus starting the first of two transesterification reactions that mediate splicing. The record is from Rfam by way of RNAcentral. Lineage: Eukaryota; Metazoa; Chordata; Mammalia; Rodentia; Castoridae.
ACUGCUUAUCAGCCCUUUGGCUAAGAUCAAAUGUUUUUCUGUUCUUAUCAGUUUAACAUCUGAUAUAUCCUCUAUCAAGGACAGCAUAUUAAGUGGAUGUUUGGAGCAGGGAAAUGGAAUAGCAUGCUGCAUCCACUCAAUUCAGGACCUGGUAUUGCAGGAUUUCCAGGAAUGGUGGACCCCAU